GCAAAACUUACAGAAAGCUUGGGUGGACAGCGGAAUGCAGCUCUAAGGGGCUUCAGAAGUUAAAAGGGCAAUGGGAUGUAUGAAGCUUGUGGAUUCACCAUGCCUUAUGCAGCCUAAGCACCAUGUACAGAGCCUCGCAACAGCAGCAAAAAUAUGUAGCAAUUUUGUGGCAGAAUUGAAAGUGGAGGAGGCUGAGACAGACAGCAUGAGGCAUGACAGCCGCUCAAGCUCUUCUAGCUUGUGUAUGGUUUUAUGUGCUUCUAAUUAUCAAUGUGUGGGAGUUUUGUCAAAAAAAGCUGGGCGUGUGGUUCCUUUUGUUCUUCUGUGUCUGUUGUGGUUUAUAUUUUAAAUGGGACACAAAUGUGAUUUAUAGUGCAUGGCAUGAUGUAGUUAGGGAAAAUUGGUCUUUUCCAGGCAACACAAACAUGAGCAGGAGAAAGAGUGCACGUGAACAGUAUGUUCCUCUCAGUGGAGAAGAAACACUCCACUAAGGCUCACAGAGAGUGUAAACAACAUGUGAGAAGUCCUCUUCAAAAAAGGAGAAAAAAGUCAAUGGCUUACUUCCACUGCAUCUAAAAAUACACAUCAUUGAAAGGCAGAGCUGUGAGAGAUCAAAGACAAUAAGCUUUCAGCGGAGUCACCCUGAAGUGUGAAAAACACCAAGAUGGGAUGGAAAGUUCUAUAUACUGACCAGCAAUGCAUGUGUCAUGACAACUGGGUUACCUUCUGGGCCACCCAAUGCUGGGUAAGGCAGCUCAAAAUAAGCCUGCAAGAAGAUUCACAUGAGGUCCUGCCCAGCUCCCUGCAAAAUGUGGAAAAAUUGUUUCCAGGCCCACAAUCUCUUAUCAGCUUGUAAGACAGGAGGACAGAGUAAGGUGAUGGGUCUGAGAAUGUCAUGAUUAAAUUGUGUGAUUUGAGAAAGGUAAAACAUAAGGGGAAUAAGCCUUUUCCUUAUUAAAAAAAAAUCACUGCAUAAACAGAGGUUCUUGUGAUUUACGUUUUCUCCCAAUGGGCUGCUAAUGAAGAACAAUUCAUAUUUGAUUUAGUGAAAAAAAAGGUGUGCAGAAAUAUAUUGGAAGGUUUGAUAUUUAUCCAACUUCUAGCUCCUGUUAUAUAUUCUCAGAACAACUGAAAAAGAAGUUACAAGAAAUCUGAUGGAAACCACUGUUUUUUUGCUUCUCUAAUUAAAUGCUGCAUAAGGUGCAACAGCUGAAGUUCAAGUUUUUAGUACAGAGGGGAUCAUCCCAAGCCAGUUUUUUGGAAAGGACUAGUAUCACCCUACUUCUAAAGACUUUAAACUCCCUCAAAAAUUCCCUGAAAAAGACAUAGUUCAAGCUGCUUAUUUUACUACUGGUAAUUAGGUAAUCAACAACGUAUGAACCUGAAAUGAAACACAGAGAUGGUUUGUCAGAAGAGUG
This is a long non-coding RNA of Motacilla alba alba, 1418 nucleotides long. RefSeq lists it as uncharacterized. Lineage: Eukaryota; Metazoa; Chordata; Aves; Passeriformes; Motacillidae. The transcript is spliced from 3 exons. The record is from RefSeq and is a predicted model, not a curated record.